This 997-nucleotide long non-coding RNA is filed under the name Gossypium barbadense (sea-island cotton). RNAcentral's name for it is "long non-coding RNA (GBAR_LNC014494)". Lineage: Eukaryota; Viridiplantae; Streptophyta; Magnoliopsida; Malvales; Malvaceae. The record is from RNAcentral.
UCAAAUAACUUACCAUUAUCAUCAUAAGAUACCAAAAUUUCAAGUAUAACAAAUAUAAACAUAUCUCGACAUAACACAGAUGAGCUUAAGUAGUUACAUUCGUAUAUACCUUAAACUACAUUUGAUAUUCUAUUGUAUGAUAGAGCUUAUAUCCUAUGAGAUAGUGAUUAGAUAUCACAUUGUAAGUGUAAUACCCAAAUUUUUACCCGUCCCACAAUAAACAAACAGUCCAUUUUUACAAACAGGCCUAUAUGGCCCAAAACUCGAAAUACAACAGGGGCCCAAAGCUCUGUGGCCCAAAUCAUUUGCAGAAACCCUAGGGUUUCCAAAGAAGACCUUUGCGCCGCAGCCACAAGCGUCCCUGAUCUUCAUACCUGCGCAUCAAAGAGAAACAAAAAAGGAAACACAAUCAAAUAUUCGAAAAUCAAAUAAAGAAACAGAUUUGUUUCUUCUUUAGAUUGGUUUUUGCUAUUAUUUUUUCAUUCGGCUAUAAAGAGCCACAAAAACACUGUAAUACGGAUCGAAAAAAUCAAUAAGAAAACAAUUACUUUCACAGAGAAUAUGAUGCAGAGCAAAAUCAAUCCAAGGUUUACAUUUACAGUUUUUUUUAUCUUGCUUUAUUUUAAUCUAUUGUUAUUUUUUUUAUAUUCGAAUAUAAAAAUAAACUACAUAAAAGGAAAGAAACAACCUUUCUUUCGGAAGCGACGUCUAGACGAUGAGGGAGCCACCCUCGAGGAUCAGUGGCCGGAAACCGAAAGGUUUCGGGACUCUUUUCGCAUUUUCAGUUGAUUUUUUUAAAGGUUUGAACCCAGAUUUGGGCUUAGGGGAUUCGAAAGGGUUGAAAAGGAUAUUUUAUUUUUUCUUCGGCCACCGUAUACGGCGGUGCCGGCGCCGAAGAUCGGCGUCCGGCGCGGUGGCCGAUGACCGGACUGGAGACCGGACGACUGAGAGGGGAGAGAGUUUUUUUUUUGGAAAGUUUUUGAUUUUUUUAAAAAAU